RNAcentral lists this microRNA precursor (103 nucleotides) under Mesocricetus auratus (golden hamster). RNAcentral's name for it is "miRNA (ENSMAUG00000006088.1)". The record is from RNAcentral. Lineage: Eukaryota; Metazoa; Chordata; Mammalia; Rodentia; Cricetidae.
AUGUGGCCUUGUUGGAGGACAUGUGUCACUGGGAAUGGGCUUUGAGGUUUCAGAUGCUCAAGCCAGGCCCAGUGUCAUUUCCUCUGCCUGCUGCCUGCUGAUC